UUCGGAUUGGGCGAAAGCCUGACCGAGCAACGCCGCGUGAAUGAUGAAGGCCUUCGGGUUGUAAAAUUCUGUUAUAAGGGAAGAACGACUUUAGUAGGAAAUGGCUAAAGUGUGACGGUACCUUAUGAGAAAGCCACGGCUAACUACGUGCCAGCAGCCGCGGUAAUACGUAGGUGGCAAGCGUUAUCCGGAAUUAUUGGGCGUAAAGAGCGCGCAGGUGGUUGAUUAAGUCUGAUGUGAAAGCCCACGGCUUAACCGUGGAGGGUCAUUGGAAACUGGUCGACUUGAGUGCAGAAGAGGGAAGUGGAAUUCCAUGUGUAGCGGUGAAAUGCGUAGAGAUAUGGAGGAACACCAGUGGCGAAGGCGGCUUCCUGGUCUGUAACUGACACUGAGGCGCGAAAGCGUGGGGA
This 410-nucleotide ribosomal RNA is filed under the name uncultured bacterium. RNAcentral's name for it is "bacterial SSU rRNA". It matches the Rfam family "Bacterial small subunit ribosomal RNA", at positions 364 to 767 of the family's 1533-position model. The record is from RNAcentral.